AGAAGCGCGCUGUGCGCUAGAGCGAUAAUUACCGUUUCACUAAACAAAUUGAAAUCGGUGCACAAAGCAAUGUGUCUGCUAUAUAAAUCAAGUUUGAGUGAAACGGGACUCACUAUUGCACGCAAACCAUCAACAAAAACACUUAAAAACGUUGUUUAAAGGGCAUUUUCAAUCAAAAAGUUACAAAGGAUAAUUAAUACUCAAAAUAUAACAUAAGAUGCAAUAUUUUCACGUGUUUGCAUUUUUGUUGCUUCUCAACAUCGGAAUAAACUUGAUAACAUUUACUGAAGCAAGAAUUGAUGAAGAACAUCAUCACUAUUACCAUCAUCAUCAUCUAAAAGACCAAGCACCUACGGACGCGAGUUUUCGCCAUCGUUAUAACGCCAUCUUGCAUUCGCACAACCCGAUGUUCGGCGUAAUGUCAAAGUAUUUUCUGCGUAACCGCGCCCAGGAGCAUGAACCACACGAUCGCAAACGUCGUCAAACUCAACAAUCACUCCAACAGCUUGAACAACUCGCAAAACUUCAACAGAAUCAACAAAAUAAAAGAAAAUUCAUUCCGUACAAUCAAAAUGUCCGCCAAGUUAGGCAACCACAAGUAUAUCCUAAUGGUUAUUCAAGUUAUCCGAGAUAUCAACAAGCGCAACCAUCCCAACAAAUUUAUUUCAGUGGUCGUAAAUGGAAUGGAGGCCCUCCUAUUAGUCAAUAUCAGAGUAAUCAGUUUGGUUUGUAUGGCAAGCCGCAGACAUUGAGUAAUUAUUAUAGAAACAAAGGAGAUUAUUAUAGAGCGUAUAAUAUUGGUAAACAGUAUUCACAGUUUAAUGGCCCACCACAAAGUUUUAACAGACUUAUCAAGAGACAAGAUAAUUCAAAUCAGAAUCAAAAUUCAAAUUUAAAUCAAAAUUCAGCGAAUUCUGCUGGUAGGAAACCGAUUAAACGAAAGUUUCGGCCUACUUUGGUUCAAUCUUAAAGAUUUGUGGUAAUUAUUUUGUUAAAAUUGUGUUUAUGUGUAUUUAUUAUGUUUAAAGUUAUAAUUUAUAUUUAUAUUUUAUUUUAUUUUUAUUUUUAUACAAAAUCUGAUUUUAUAUGACGAUUACUACUUAAAUAAUUAAUUUGAUAAUAAAAUAGUACAGAGAUAAA
Molecule: long non-coding RNA, 1140 nt
Organism: Dalotia coriaria
Lineage: Eukaryota; Metazoa; Arthropoda; Insecta; Coleoptera; Staphylinidae
Exons: 2
Source: RefSeq, a predicted model, not a curated record